This is a long non-coding RNA of Papaver somniferum (opium poppy), 866 nucleotides long. RefSeq lists it as uncharacterized. The record is from RefSeq and is a predicted model, not a curated record. The transcript is spliced from 2 exons. Lineage: Eukaryota; Viridiplantae; Streptophyta; Magnoliopsida; Ranunculales; Papaveraceae.
AUACGAUGAUGUACAAGCACAUGCUUUAGCUGCUGGUGGGUACCAAGGAGAGUGGCAGAAUUACCAAUACUCUGAACAACAAAUGACUUAUCCUGAACAGUACCUCCAGCAAGAUCUUCAAACUUACGGUGCACAAGGGGACCCAACCAUUCUACAAGAUCCACACUUCAUGACCCAAGAAGAGAAGGAUCGAUGUCGGAUCGGUGUUCAAACGUGAUGAUCAGAGGCUUCAGCAGCUGAGAGAGAAGGAUGCUCGGGAAAAAGAUCUCAAUUUCAUAUCGGACAGUUACUCUGAAUGUUAUCCUGGUUAUCAGGAGUAUAAUCGUGAAGUUGUGGCCUUGUGGGCAGCAAUGAUGAAGAUGAUCUGUCAAAAAUGGAUAUGGGUGGCCGGGGUCGUCUUCAUCGCUGGGACUUUGAGACUGAGGAGGAAUGGGAAAUGUACAACGAACAAAAGGAAGCAAUCUCUUGAAAGUCUUCAACGACUCCACUUCACUCAUAAUCAUCUCAAUUUCCCAAUGAGAGACAUAGUAAGUUAUUCCUCGGAGCUAAGGGCCAUCCAAAUAAUCUAUGCGCUUUAUGCUACGAUUAAAUUCAAUAUUCCAUUUGAUUUUAUCGAGAUCACAGAGGAAGUAACCUUGCAUAGCUUGGAAGAGCGUAACAAAUCCACCAUCACACUCAUCUAGCUUCCUCUUGAAUCGGUUGUGAUAAGACUUCACCGUGCUCCUAGCUUGGUUGUCAUAGUGUUUGUAUUUGUUUAUGUAUGCACUAACAAAAAUUUCUUUAUAAGGAAACAAAUAUGUACCCAAAUGCUCUACAACCAUGGGAUAACUGUUCUAAUACGCCAUUAACAUACUCUCAUUUCUUCA